AACGAACGCUGGCGGCAUGCCUAACACAUGCAAGUCGAACGAGACCUUCGGGUCUAGCGGCGCACGGGUGCGUAACGCGUGGGAACCUGCCCUUAGGUUCGGAAUAACUCCCCGAAGGGGGUGCUAAUACCGGAUAAUGUCUUCGGACCAAAGAUUUAUCGCCUUUGGAUGGGCCCGCGUUGGAUUAGCUAGUUGGUAGGGUAAAAGCCUACCAAGGCGACGAUCCAUAGCUGGUCUGAGAGGAUGAUCAGCCACACUGGGACUGAGACACGGCCCAGACUCCUACGGGAGGCAGCAGUGGGGAAUAUUGGACAAUGGGCGAAAGCCUGAUCCAGCAAUGCCGCGUGAGUGAUGAAGGCCUUAGGGUUGUAAAGCUCUUUUACCCGGGAUGAUAAUGACAGUACCGGGAGAAUAAGCUCCGGCUAACUCCGUG
This 433-nucleotide ribosomal RNA is filed under the name uncultured bacterium. RNAcentral describes it as "partial 16S ribosomal RNA". It matches the Rfam family "Bacterial small subunit ribosomal RNA", at positions 29 to 507 of the family's 1533-position model. The record is from RNAcentral.